RNAcentral lists this transfer RNA (72 nucleotides) under Lewinella sp. Its description in RNAcentral is "tRNA-Phe". It matches the Rfam family "tRNA". From Rfam's summary of the family: Transfer RNA (tRNA) molecules are approximately 80 nucleotides in length. Their secondary structure includes four short double-helical elements and three loops (D, anti-codon, and T loops). Lineage: Bacteria; Pseudomonadati; Bacteroidota; Saprospiria; Saprospirales; Lewinellaceae. The record is from RNAcentral. RNAcentral also lists the same sequence under 1 other name.
GGCAAUCAAGCUCUCGGGGAGAGAGCGUCCCGUUGAAGCCGGGAAGGGCAGGGUUCGACUCCCGGAUUGCCG